This 301-nucleotide ribosomal RNA is filed under the name uncultured soil bacterium. RNAcentral describes it as "bacterial SSU rRNA". It matches the Rfam family "Bacterial small subunit ribosomal RNA", at positions 26 to 329 of the family's 1533-position model. The record is from RNAcentral.
AGAUUGAACGCUGGCGGCAGGCCUAACACAUGCAAGUCGAGCGGUAGAGAGGUGCUUGCAUCUCUUGAGAGCGGCGGACGGGUGAGUAAUGCCUAGGAAUCUGCCUAGUGGUGGGGGAUAACGUUCGGAAACGGACGCUAAUACCGCAUACGUCCUACGGGAGAAAGCGGGGGACCUUCGGGCCUCGCGCCAUUAGAUGAGCCUAGGUCGGAUUAGCUAGUUGGUGAGGUAAUGGCUCACCAAGGCGACGAUCCGUAACUGGUCUGAGAGGAUGAUCAGUCACACUGGAACUGAGACACGG